This 23-nucleotide non-coding RNA is filed under the name Drosophila melanogaster (fruit fly). Lineage: Eukaryota; Metazoa; Arthropoda; Insecta; Diptera; Drosophilidae. RNAcentral also lists the same sequence under 1 other name. The record is from RNAcentral.
AAUGGUUAGCACUCUGGACUUUG